GCCUAUGUUGUGACGUCUGCUAACAAAACAUCAUACAGCCACCAUGAAAGCCGUCGCUCUGUUGAUUCUCGCUGGCUGUGUGGCCGCUUCGGCCUAUUUAUUCUGCCCUAACCAAGUCUUCUGUUUCGUCAACCCAUGCACCGUUUCUGCUUGUCCCAGUAUUCCAUGGGCUCAGUGUGUACCCGAUUACUGCCACGGAAAAUGUUGGGCCAGAUGGUAUUUUAGAGGGGUAGAGGUGACACCUUAUUGCCAGUGGUAUUGAUUGGCGAACACCA
Physella acuta is the source of this 275-nucleotide long non-coding RNA. RefSeq lists it as uncharacterized. NCBI's taxonomy places the organism in Eukaryota, Metazoa, Mollusca, Gastropoda, Physidae. The record is from RefSeq and is a predicted model, not a curated record.